RNAcentral lists this unclassified non-coding RNA (402 nucleotides) under Melitaea cinxia (Glanville fritillary). RNAcentral's name for it is "misc RNA ENSMCXG00005007505.1". Lineage: Eukaryota; Metazoa; Arthropoda; Insecta; Lepidoptera; Nymphalidae. The record is from RNAcentral.
AGUAACUACGCGUUAUGAAAGAUUACUCAAAAAGUAGUUAUCAGAUCUCGAUAAAAUUUAUAUGUGACCACAUGACAAACAUCAGCUUUCGAUUAAAUUAAAAAUUAUUAAAAUCGGUACCCCCAGUAAAAAGUUAUUGCGGAUUUUCAAGAAUUUCCUUCGAUUUCUCUGGGAUCCUAUCAUCAGAUCCUGGUUUCCUUAUCAUGGUACUAAACUAGGGAUAUCCCCUUUCCAACAAAAAAAGAAUUAUCAAAAUCGGUACAUCCAGUAGAAAGUUAUGCGGUAUAAUACAACGUAGGUCGACGAAAAAAGCGUCAAGUAAAAACGCAUUAUUAGAUAUAGCUCGAAAAGUAAUUGUUAGAUCUCAAAUAAAUUUAAAUGGGACCAAUUGGCACACACCAC